This 298-nucleotide signal recognition particle RNA is filed under the name Loxodonta africana (African savanna elephant). RNAcentral's name for it is "Metazoan signal recognition particle RNA". It matches the Rfam family "Metazoan signal recognition particle RNA". From Rfam's summary of the family: The signal recognition particle (SRP) is a universally conserved ribonucleoprotein. It is involved in the co-translational targeting of proteins to membranes. The eukaryotic SRP consists of a 300-nucleotide 7S RNA and six proteins: SRPs 72, 68, 54, 19, 14, and 9. Lineage: Eukaryota; Metazoa; Chordata; Mammalia; Proboscidea; Elephantidae. The record is from Rfam by way of RNAcentral.
GCUGGGCGCCGUGGCAUGCACCGUAGUCCCAGCUGCUCGGGAGACUGAGGCUGGAGGACCGCUUGAGCCCAAGAGUUCUGGGCUGUAGUGCACUAUGCUGGUUGGGUAUCUGCACUAAAUUCAGCAUAAUAUGGUGGCUUACCUGGAGCAGGGGACCACCAGGUUGCCUAAGGAGGGGUGAACUGGCCCAGGUUGGAAACAGAACAGGCCAAAACUCCCGUGCUAAUCGGUGGUGGGACCACUCCUAUGAACAGCCACUGCACUCCAGCCUGGGCAACAUAGCAAGACCCCGUCUCUU